RNAcentral lists this unclassified non-coding RNA (145 nucleotides) under uncultured fungus. RNAcentral describes it as "sequence contains ITS1". Lineage: Eukaryota; Fungi. The record is from RNAcentral.
UAGUAGUAGGGACUUCGGUCCCUCCGUAAUGGAACCCUUGCCUUUUUUUAGCGUCUCUCCGUUUCCUCGGCAGCUCCGCCUGCCAGCGAGGACCCCCAAAAAACCUUUGCAAUCCAGUAAAAUAUUCAGAAUUACACAAACGUUA